CCUACGGGUGGCUGCAGUGAGGAAUAUUGGUCAAUGGACGCAAGUCUGAACCAGCCAUGCCGCGUGCAGGAUGACUGCUCUAUGAGUUGUAAACUGCUUUUGUACAAGGAUAAACGCAGAUACGCGUAUCUGUCUGAAAGUAUCGUACGAAUACGGAACGGCUAACUCCGUGCCAGCAGCCGCGGUAAUACGGAGGAUUCAAGCGUUAUCCGGAUUUAUUGGGUUUAAAGGGUGCGUAGGCGGUCUGAUAAGUUAGAGGUGAAAUCCCGAGGCUCAACUUGGGAAUUGCCGUUGAUACGGGUAGGCUAGAGUGUAGUUGAGGUAGGCGGAAUUUAGGGUGGAGCGGUGAAAUGCUUAGAGAUCAUGAAGAACACCGAUUGCGAAGGCAGCUUACCAAGCUACUACGGACGUUGAGGCACGAAAGCGUGGGGAGCAAACAGGAUUAGAUACCCUUGUAGUC
This 460-nucleotide ribosomal RNA is filed under the name uncultured bacterium. Its description in RNAcentral is "partial 16S ribosomal RNA". It matches the Rfam family "Bacterial small subunit ribosomal RNA", at positions 338 to 795 of the family's 1533-position model. The record is from RNAcentral.